UUCCACUUAAAAAUAAGUAAUAUCCCUUCAGGGUUUGGUACAUUUCAAGAUGUCUAACUUUCUAAUUAUUUAGACAAAAAAACAAUGGUUUAGCUCACUAAUUUUCACUGCUUCUUAUAUCCCAAAUCUUUUUUUUUUUUUUCUGAGUGGGAGAGAAUUUUCCUUUGUUCUGAAGUACAUCCUUUCAAACAUCAUUUAGUGGUGGUCUCAUGUGAUCGGCUUCUUGGUUUUGUCUGCCUAAAUAUGUCUAUUAUUUUAUAAAUGUGUUUAUAAAUUAAAUGUUUAAUUUUCUGUGUCAACUUGGCUAGGUCAUGACACCCAGAUAUUUGGCCAAACACAUCUGGAUAUUGCUGAGAAGUGAUUUUUUUAGAUGAGAUUAACAUUUAAAUCAGUGGACUUUGAGUAAAGCAGAUUACUCUCCAUAAUAUGGGUGGCCUUAUCCAGUCAGUCGAAGGCCUUAACCCGUUUAUGCCAGAGGUUGCAAAUUUUUUGUGUGAAAAAUCAGACCUUGGCAAUGACCUUGAGCAGUAGGAUAUAAAUAAAUCCCACAAGCUUAGCGUUCCAAUAGUGGAGCACUAGGCAUAAAUGCCUUAAAGAAAGGACUGAUCUCCCCUGAAGAAGAGAGAAUUCUGCCUCUAGAUUGCUUACAAUUUGAACUGGAACAUCAGCUGUUCUCUAGGUCUUAAGUCUGCUGCUCUAACCUACAAAUUUUGGACAUGCCAAUCUCCACAGUCACAUGGGCCAAUUCCUUAGUUUCUCUGGAGAAUCCUGACUAAUGUAUGCAAUGUCUUUAUUUCAUCCUCAUUCUUAAAGGAUAUUUUCAUCAGGUAUGCUAUUUUAGGUUGAUGGUUAUUUUCCUAGUGCAUUGAAGGUAUUAUUUUACAGGUUUAGACUUCCAUUGUUUCUGUUAAGAAACAGCAGUUUAAUUGUUUUUUUGUUUUUUCUUUGAAGGUAGUCUGUAGUUUUUAAUGGGUACUUUUAUGAACUUUUUUUUUUUGCUUUUGGUGGACUGUGGUUUCACUAGAUGUGUGCAUGGGUAGAUCUCUUUUUUAUUUUGCUAUUUGAGAUUUACUGGGCUUGAAUUUGUGAAUUAGUGUCUUUCAACAGUCCUGGGAUGUUCUUAGCCAUUGUAUUGUCAGACAUUGAUUCUUCUCCAUUUUCUCUCUCUUCUCUUUCUGAAAGUUCAAAUAGAUGAUUGUUAGAUCCCACUCUGUCCUUCCUAUGCCUUAAUCUCUAUUUUGUUUUCUAUUAGUUCCCUCUUCAGCUAUAUGUCUUUUUUUUUUAAUUAAUAGAUUUGUUUGUUUGUUUGUUUGAGACAGGGUCUUGCACUGCUGCCUAGGCUAGAGUGCAGUGGUGCAAUCAGGGCUCACUGCAGCCUCACUCAACUUCCCAGUCUCAAGCCAUCCUCCUACCUCAGCCUCUGUUCCACUAAUCUACUUGUCAAUUUUUCCAGCAACACCACACCCUCCUGAUCACCAUAGCUUUAUGCAACAACAAGAAACAAAUUUAUUAGCUAACCUAACCACUAAUGACGCAAGAGACAAUUCUAAGGACUUUCAAAACAGCAAAGUAGGAGCAGCUGCUACCUCUAGGGAUGAGGGAUGCAAUUGUCCAAUUAUUGGUGAAAUUGUCAUUUCAUGCUAUUGGCUAUUUGAAAUUCCUCCUCUAAUUUCAGAAUAAAUCACUGAAAUUGACAUCGGCCAGUCUGAAUUUCAAGAAAUUACCUGCUGAAGACAAGAGGGAUCUCUUCUUCAGAUUUGCAGUCUGGGGAAGACACAGCCUCUACUGUACUUUAGAACCUGAGAUAUGGUGGUGGAGGGAGCCCUGGGUCGAGUGGUAAGAUUCACCCUUAGGUUAGUAUUGACGUAAGGUGACGAGGAGCUGUAGACAAAAGAUUGUAACCAUAAGAACUUCAUAGUUUUUGUAUUUUCACCGAGCUUAUAUUUGGUGUGUUUUUUGUCUUUUCUUUAUGAUUAUCAAUAAAAUGCUUGAAAGGA
This 1997-nucleotide long non-coding RNA is filed under the name Homo sapiens (human). RNAcentral's name for it is "long intergenic non-protein coding RNA 470". Lineage: Eukaryota; Metazoa; Chordata; Mammalia; Primates; Hominidae. The record is from RNAcentral.